AUUGAACGCUGGCGGCAGGCCUAACACAUGCAAGUCGAGCGGAGCGGCGGACGGGUGAGUAAGGCCUAGGAAUCUGCCUGGUAGUGGGGGAUAACGUCCGGAUACGGGCGCUAAUACCGCAUAAUAUCAGAUGAGACUAGGUCGGAUUAGCUAGUUGGUGGGUUAAAGGCUUACCCAGGCGACGAUCCGUAACUGGUCUGAGAGGAUGAUCAGUCACACUGGAACUGAGACACGGUCCAGACUCCUACGGGAGGCAGCAGUGGGGAAUAUUGGACAAUGGGCGCAAGCCUGAUCCAGCCAUGCCGCGUGUGUGAAGAAGGUCUUCGGAUUGUAAAGCACUUUAAGUUGGGAGGCGUUACCAACAGAAGAAGCACCGGCUAACUUCGUGCCAGCAGCCGCGGUAAUUC
This 407-nucleotide ribosomal RNA is filed under the name uncultured bacterium. RNAcentral's name for it is "partial 16S ribosomal RNA". It matches the Rfam family "Bacterial small subunit ribosomal RNA", at positions 30 to 526 of the family's 1533-position model. The record is from RNAcentral.